Molecule: ribosomal RNA, 370 nt
Filed under: uncultured Centipeda sp.
Lineage: Bacteria; Bacillati; Bacillota; Negativicutes; Selenomonadales; Selenomonadaceae
Description: bacterial SSU rRNA
Rfam family: Bacterial small subunit ribosomal RNA
Source: RNAcentral
GUAGGUGGCGAGCGUUGUCCGGAAUCAUUGGGCGUAAAGGGAGCGCAGGCGGGCAUGUAAGUCUUUCUUAAAAGUGCGGGGCUCAACCCCGUGAUGGGAAAGAAACUAUAUGUCUUGAGUACAGGAGAGGAAAGCGGAAUUCCCAGUGUAGCGGUGAAAUGCGUAGAUAUUGGGAGGAACACCAGUGGCGAAGGCGGCUUUCUGGACUGCAACUGACGCUGAGGCUCGAAAGCCAGGGGAGCGAACGGGAUUAGAUACCCCGGUAGUCCUGGCCGUAAACGAUGGAUACUAGGUGUGGGAGGUAUCGACCCCUACCGUGCCGGAGUUAACGCAAUAAGUAUCCCGCCUGGGGAGUACGGCCGCAAGGCUG